RNAcentral lists this small RNA (609 nucleotides) under Pan troglodytes (chimpanzee). RNAcentral describes it as "retained intron". Lineage: Eukaryota; Metazoa; Chordata; Mammalia; Primates; Hominidae. The record is from RNAcentral.
ACUUCCGGGUCGGACGGCGCUAGCUGCAGCAUCGGAGUGUGGCAGUGCUGGGCUGGCCGGCGGGCUGGGCUGCGGCCCGCGCGCGGCCGGCGAUGCAGGGGGGCAACUCCGGGGUCCGCAAGCGCGAAGAGGAGGGCGACGGGGCUGGGGCUGUGGCUGCGCCGCCGGCCAUCGACUUUCCCGCCGAGGGCCCGGACCCCAAAUAUGACGAAUCUGAUGUUCCAGCAGAACUCCAGGUGUUAAAAGAACCCCUACAACAGCCAACCUUCCCUUUUGCAGUUGCAAACCAACUCUUGUUGGUUUCUUUGCUGGAGCACUUGAGCCAUGUGCAUGAACCAAACCCACUUCGUUCAAGACAGGUGUUUAAGUUACUUUGCCAGACGUUUAUCAAAAUGGGGCUGCUGUCUUCUUUCACUUGUAGUGACGAGUUUAGCUCAUUGAGACUACAUCACAACAGAGCUAUUACUCACUUAAUGAGGUCUGCUAAAGAGAGAGUUCGUCAGGUAAGCCCUAAAAAAUAUACUUUAAUUUUAUGAUAAUUAUAUUUUAAAGCACUGUGAAAUUCUGAUUAUAAAACAAGUUUUUAAAAGUAUAAACUCUAGGCCAGGA